CAGCGUCUUGGCGAGGCCGGGCACGCCUUCGAGGAGGUUGUGGCCGCCGGCGAAGAUGGUGGUGAGGAGUUGUUCAAGCACCUCGCGCUGGCCA
Molecule: transfer RNA, 94 nt
Filed under: Verrucomicrobiota bacterium
Lineage: Bacteria; Pseudomonadati; Verrucomicrobiota
Description: tRNA-Leu
Source: RNAcentral